CGGAUUAGAUACCCGGGUAGUCCACGCCCUAAACGAUGCGCACUAGGUCUCUGGGCUUACUGGGGGCCGAAGCUAACGCGUUAAGUGCGCCGCCUGGGGAGUACGGCCGCAAGGCUGAAACUCAAAGGAAUUGACGGGGGCCCGCACAAGCGGUGGAGCAUGUGGUUUAAUUCGAAACAACGCGAAAAACCUUACCAGGCCUUGACAUGCUGGGGAACCUGCCUGAAAGGGCGGGGUGCCGCAAGGAGCCCCAGCACAGGUGCUGCAUGGCCGUCGUCAGCUCGUGCCGUGAGGUGUUGGGUUAAGUCCCGCAACGAGCGCAACCCCUGCCCCUAGUUGCCAGCGGGUAAGGCCGGGGACUCUAGGGGGACUGCCCGCGAAAGCGGGAGGAAGGCGGGGACGACGUCUGGUCAGCAUGGCCCCUAAGGCCUGGGCGACACACGUGCUACAAUGCCCACUACAAAGCGAGGCGACCGGGCGACCGGGAGCGAAUCGCAAAAAGGUGGGCGUAGUUCGGAUUGCAGUCUGCAACUCGACUGCAUGAAGCCGGAAUCGCUAGUAAUCGCGGAUCAGCCAUGCCGCGGUGAAUACGUUCCCGGGCCCUGUACACACCGCCCGUCACGCCAUGGGAGCGGGUUCUACCCGAAGUCGCCGGGAGCCUGAGGGCAGGCGCCGAGGGUAGGGCCCGUGACUGGGGCGAAGUCGUAACAAGGUAACCAAGC
Molecule: ribosomal RNA, 722 nt
Filed under: uncultured bacterium
Lineage: Bacteria
Description: bacterial SSU rRNA
Rfam family: Bacterial small subunit ribosomal RNA
Source: RNAcentral